This 87-nucleotide transfer RNA is filed under the name Spirochaetia bacterium. Its description in RNAcentral is "tRNA-Arg". Lineage: Bacteria; Pseudomonadati; Spirochaetota; Spirochaetia. The record is from RNAcentral.
ACUAGGAACCAGUUCGUAGGAACUAGGAACUAGUUUUUCGGAAACUAGACCGUAUGCGAGCCAUUGGUUCGCUUCCAAUCUCUAGUA